UAGGGAAUCUUCGGCAAUGGACGGAAGUCUGACCGAGCAACGCCGCGUGAGUGAAGAAGGUUUUCGGAUCGUAAAGCUCUGUUGUAAGAGAGGAACGAGUGUGAGAGUGGAAAGUUCACACUGUGACGGUAUCUUACCAGAAAGGGACGGCUAACUACGUGCCAGCAGCCGCGGUAAUACGUAGGUCCCGAGCGUUGUCCGGAUUUAUUGGGCGUAAAGCGAGCGCAGGCGGUUAGAUAAGUCUGAAGUGAAAGGCAGUGGCUCAACCAUUGUAGGCUUUGGAAACUGUUUAACUUGAGUGCAGAAGGGGAGAGUGGAAUUCCAUGUGUAGCGGUGAAAUGCGUAGAUAUAUGGAGGAACACCGGUGGCGAAAGCGGCUCUCUGGUCUGUAACUGACGCUGAGGCUCGAAAGCGUGGGGAGCGAACAGGAUUAGAUACCCUGGUAGUCCACGCCGUAAACGAUGAGUGCUAGGUGUUAGGUCCUUUCCGGGACUUAGUGCCGCAGCUAACGCAUUAAGCACUCCGCCUGGGGAGUACGACCGCAAGGUU
This 549-nucleotide ribosomal RNA is filed under the name uncultured bacterium. Its description in RNAcentral is "bacterial SSU rRNA". It matches the Rfam family "Bacterial small subunit ribosomal RNA", at positions 355 to 895 of the family's 1533-position model. The record is from RNAcentral.